RNAcentral lists this ribosomal RNA (2188 nucleotides) under Escherichia coli. RNAcentral's name for it is "partial 23S ribosomal RNA". It matches the Rfam family "Bacterial large subunit ribosomal RNA", at positions 1 to 2215 of the family's 2925-position model. The record is from RNAcentral. Lineage: Bacteria; Pseudomonadati; Pseudomonadota; Gammaproteobacteria; Enterobacterales; Enterobacteriaceae.
GUUAAGCGACUAAGCGUACACGGUGGAUGCCCUGGCAGUCAGAGGCGAUGAAGGACGUGCUAAUCUGCGAUAAGCGUCGGUAAGGUGAUAUGAACCGUUAUAACCGGCGAUUUCCGAAUGGGGAAACCCAGUGUGAUUCGUCACACUAUCAUUAACUGAAUCCAUAGGUUAAUGAGGCGAACCGGGGGAACUGAAACAUCUAAGUACCCCGAGGAAAAGAAAUCAACCGAGAUUCCCCCAGUAGCGGCGAGCGAACGGGGAGCAGCCCAGAGCCUGAAUCAGUGUGUGUGUUAGUGGAAGCGUCUGGAAAGGCGCGCGAUACAGGGUGACAGCCCCGUACACAAAAAUGCACAUGCUGUGAGCUCGAUGAGUAGGGCGGGACACGUGGUAUCCUGUCUGAAUAUGGGGGGACCAUCCUCCAAGGCUAAAUACUCCUGACUGACCGAUAGUGAACCAGUACCGUGAGGGAAAGGCGAAAAGAACCCCGGCGAGGGGAGUGAAAAAGAACCUGAAACCGUGUACGUACAAGCAGUGGGAGCACGCUUAGGCGUGUGACUGCGUACCUUUUGUAUAAUGGGUCAGCGACUUAUAUUCUGUAGCAAGGUUAACCGAAUAGGGGAGCCGAAGGGAAACCGAGUCUUAACUGGGCGUUAAGUUGCAGGGUAUAGACCCGAAACCCGGUGAUCUAGCCAUGGGCAGGUUGAAGGUUGGGUAACACUAACUGGAGGACCGAACCGACUAAUGUUGAAAAAUUAGCGGAUGACUUGUGGCUGGGGGUGAAAGGCCAAUCAAACCGGGAGAUAGCUGGUUCUCCCCGAAAGCUAUUUAGGUAGCGCCUCGUGAAUUCAUCUCCGGGGGUAGAGCACUGUUUCGGCAAGGGGGUCAUCCCGACUUACCAACCCGAUGCAAACUACGAAUACCGGAGAAUGUUAUCACGGGAGACACACGGCGGGUGCUAACGUCCGUCGUGAAGAGGGAAACAACCCAGACCGCCAGCUAAGGUCCCAAAGUCAUGGUUAAGUGGGAAACGAUGUGGGAAGGCCCAGACAGCCAGGAUGUUGGCUUAGAAGCAGCCAUCAUUUAAAGAAAGCGUAAUAGCUCACUGGUCGAGUCGGCCUGCGCGGAAGAUGUAACGGGGCUAAACCAUGCACCGAAGCUGCGGCAGCGACGCUUAUGCGUUGUUGGGUAGGGGAGCGUUCUGUAAGCCUGCGAAGGUGUGCUGUGAGGCAUGCUGGAGGUAUCAGAAGUGCGAAUGCUGACAUAAGUAACGAUAAAGCGGGUGAAAAGCCCGCUCGCCGGAAGACCAAGGGUUCCUGUCCAACGUUAAUCGGGGCAGGGUGAGUCGACCCCUAAGGCGAGGCCGAAAGGCGUAGUCGAUGGGAAACAGGUUAAUAUUCCUGUACUUGGUGUUACUGCGAAGGGGGGACGGAGAAGGCUAUGUUGGCCGGGCGACGGUUGUCCCGGUUUAAGCGUGUAGGCUGGUUUUCCAGGCAAAUCCGGAAAAUCAAGGCUGAGGCGUGAUGACGAGGCACUACGGUGCUGAAGCAACAAAUGCCCUGCUUCCAGGAAAAGCCUCUAAGCAUCAGGUAACAUCAAAUCGUACCCCAAACCGACACAGGUGGUCAGGUAGAGAAUACCAAGGCGCUUGAGAGAACUCGGGUGAAGGAACUAGGCAAAAUGGUGCCGUAACUUCGGGAGAAGGCACGCUGAUAUGUAGGUGAAGCGACUUGCUCGUGGAGCUGAAAUCAGUCGAAGAUACCAGCUGGCUGCAACUGUUUAUUAAAAACACAGCACUGUGCAAACACGAAAGUGGACGUAUACGGUGUGACGCCUGCCCGGUGCCGGAAGGUUAAUUGAUGGGGUUAGCGCAAGCGAAGCUCUUGAUCGAAGCCCCGGUAAACGGCGGCCGUAACUAUAACGGUCCUAAGGUAGCGAAAUUCCUUGUCGGGUAAGUUCCGACCUGCACGAAUGGCGUAAUGAUGGCCAGGCUGUCUCCACCCGAGACUCAGUGAAAUUGAACUCGCUGUGAAGAUGCAGUGUACCCGCGGCAAGACGGAAAGACCCCGUGAACCUUUACUAUAGCUUGACACUGAACAUUGAGCCUUGAUGUGUAGGAUAGGUGGGAGGCUUUGAAGUGUGGACGCCAGUCUGCAUGGAGCCGACCUUGAAAUACCACCCUUUAAUGUUU